RNAcentral lists this ribosomal RNA (110 nucleotides) under Neogale vison (American mink). Lineage: Eukaryota; Metazoa; Chordata; Mammalia; Carnivora; Mustelidae. The record is from RNAcentral.
GUCUACGGCCAUACCACCCUGAAUACGCCUGAUCUCGUCUGAUCUCGGAAGCUAAGCAGGGUCGGGCCUGGUUAGUACUUGGAUGGGAAAAGUAGAGAAGAAUGCUGACC